RNAcentral lists this long non-coding RNA (1291 nucleotides) under Homo sapiens (human). RNAcentral's name for it is "non-protein coding lnc-RPIA-2:9". The record is from RNAcentral. Lineage: Eukaryota; Metazoa; Chordata; Mammalia; Primates; Hominidae.
ACUUACUACGUGGCGGAUUCUGACUGUGAAGAGGACUGUCCCAAGUGAAGAGUGGGAGGCAAGUGCCUUGUGACCGGGAGGAGGUCGACCUUAAAGGAGCUGGUAUUGUAGCUCUUCUAAAGCCUAGUCUACUUAGGAAGGCAAAAGCGAAGCAGCAAGAAGUGGCCACAGAAGCCGUGUGGUCCCUAGAAGUAGAAGGGUAAGGAGGAUGCAGGAGAUGGUCCUACUUGUGGCCGCAACGGGGCUCAGAAGUCCGCUUGUUAGAGAUGGCAGUGACCUGUGACAAUCCAGUCUGCCCGACACGCCUCCCGCCUCCUUAGGAACGGGAAGGAGCCCCGGCCCAGUGCACUGACGUAGUUAGCCUAAGAUCACGUAGCUGGUUGGUCACAGAAUCAUGACUUUAAUUCAUGUCUUCUGACUCUGACCUGGCACGCUUUGUACCUCACCAAAGACAGUGAUGAAAUUGCAAAAGGGCAGAGUGGAGAAGACUGGAAUGUUCAGCCAAGGCAUUUGAACUUUUAAUGCUGCAAGUCAAGACUUCCUGAAGAUUUUUGAGCAGAUGAGUGAAGUGAUAAGAAAAUGCAUCUUCAGCAGUGACAGCAUCAACGAGGAGGAGACUGGCCGGGAGGCUAUUACCCGCAUCAAAACCAGUGAACAUUAAAAAAAAUUUUUUUUUUAGAGAGAGGGUCUUGCUCUUUUGCCCAGGCUGGAGUGCAGUGGCUUGACCAUAGUUCUCUAUAACCUUGAAUUCCUGCGUUCAAGCGAUCUUCCUUCCUCAGCUUCCGGAGUAGCUGGGACUACAGAUGCGUGCCACCAUGCCAGGCCAAUUUUUAAUUUUGUUUUGUAAAGAUGGGGUUUCUGUGUUGCCCAGGUAGGACAAAGAGGAAUGACAAAAGGCAUGUAACCACCUGAAUUUGCCCCUAUCAAAGAGCUCUCCAGGAAGCACCACCAAGGAAUUUUCACUGACAUUUCCCAGGCCAGACCAUGCUGCUGCUAAGCAAAAUGAGGAUUCUGCUAGUGAGGAUGAAAGGAAGAAUGUGUAAUCAGUUUUCUUGAAGUAUAAUACAUGUACAAUAAACUGAACCUAUUGGAAAUAUACAUUUGGAUGAGUUUUGACAGAUGUAUAUACCACAGUCAAGAUACAGAACAUUCCCAUCACUCCAAGAGAUUCUUUGUGUCCCUUUGUGGUCAAUCCCUCCUACACGAGGCCCCUAGGUAACCGCUGAUCUGUUUUCCAUCACAAUAGAUUAGUCUGCAUAUUCUAGCAUCUUUAAUAAAUGCAGUCAUACAG